Molecule: ribosomal RNA, 440 nt
Filed under: uncultured bacterium
Lineage: Bacteria
Description: partial 16S ribosomal RNA
Rfam family: Bacterial small subunit ribosomal RNA
Source: RNAcentral
CCUACGGGAGGCAGCAGUGGGGGAUAUUGCACAAUGGGGGAAACCCUGAUGCAGCAACGCCGCGUGAGUGAAGAAGGUCUUCGGAUUGUAAAGCUCUGUUCUUGGUGAAGAUAAUGACGGUAGCCAAGGAGAAAGCUCCGGCUAACUACGUGCCAGCAGCCGCGGUAAUACGUAGGGAGCGAGCGUUGUCCGGAUUUACUGGGUGUAAAGGGUGCGCAGGCGGCUCUGCAAGUCAGGCGUGAAAGCUAGGGGCUCAACCCCUAAAUUGCGCUUGAAACUGUGGAGCUUGAGUGAAGUAGAGGCAGGCGGAAUUCCCGGUGUAGCGGUGAAAUGCGUAGAGAUCGGGAGGAACACCAGUGGCGAAGGCAGCAUACCGGCGCCCAACUGACGCUGAAGCACGAAAGCGUGGGUAUCGAACAGGAUUAGAUACCCCAGUAGUC